GGAUGAACGCUAGCGAUAGGCUUAACACAUGCAAGUCGAGGGGCAGCACAAGGUAGCUUGCUAUCUGGGUGGCGACCGGCGCACGGGUGCGUAACGCGUAUGCAACUUGCCCUAUACAGGAGGAUAACCCGUCGAAAGACGGACUAAUACUGCGUAUGCUCACAACUUGGCAUCAAGUGGUGAGGAAAGAAAUUCGGUAUAGGAUAGGCAUGCGUCCCAUUAGCUUGUUGGUGAGGUAACGGCUCACCAAGGCAACGAUGGGUAGGGGAACUGAGAGGUUUAUCCCCCACACUGGUACUGAGACACGGACCAGACUCCUACGGGAGGCAGCAGUGAGGAAUAUUGGUCAAUGGGCGCGAGCCUGAACCAGCCAAGUCGCGUGAAGGAUGACUGUCUUAUGGAUUGUAAACUUCUUUUAUACGGGAAUAACAAGAGUCACGUGUGACUCCCUGCAUGUACCGUAUGAAUAAGCAUCGGCUAACUCCGUG
RNAcentral lists this ribosomal RNA (488 nucleotides) under uncultured bacterium. RNAcentral's name for it is "partial 16S ribosomal RNA". It matches the Rfam family "Bacterial small subunit ribosomal RNA", at positions 27 to 507 of the family's 1533-position model. The record is from RNAcentral.